RNAcentral lists this ribosomal RNA (497 nucleotides) under uncultured bacterium. RNAcentral describes it as "partial 16S ribosomal RNA". It matches the Rfam family "Bacterial small subunit ribosomal RNA", at positions 28 to 507 of the family's 1533-position model. The record is from RNAcentral.
GAUGAACGCUGGCGGCGUGCCUAAUACAUGCAAGUCGAGCGAACGGACGAGAAGCUUGCUUUUCUGAUGUUAGCGGCGGACGGGUGAGUAACACGUGGAUAACCUACCUAUAAUACUGGGAUAACUUCGGGAAACCGGAGAUAAUACCGGAUCAUAUUUUGAACCGCAUGGUUCAAAAGUGAAAGACGGUUUUGCUGUCACUUAUAGAUGGUGCCGCGCUGCAUUAGCUAGUUGGUAAGGUAACGGCUUACCAAGGCGACGAUGCAUAGCCGACCUGAGAGGGUGAUCGGCCACACUGGAACUGAGACACGGUCCAGACUCCUACGGGAGGCAGCAGUAGGGAAUCUUCCGCAAUGGGCGAAAGCCUGACGGAGCAACGCCGCGUGAGUGAUGAAGGUCUUCGGAUCGUAAAACUCUGUUAUUAGGGAAGAACAUAUGUGUAAGUAACUGUGCACAUCUUGACGGUACCUAAUCAGAAAGCCACGGCUAACUACGUG